UGAGGAAUAUUGGUCAAUGGGCGCAAGCCUGAACCAGCCAUCCCGCGUGCAGGAAGACGGCCCUAUGGGUUGUAAACUGCUUUUCCAGGGAGAGAAACCUGCGCACGUGUUGCGCAAUUGACGGUACCCUGGGAAUAAGCAUCGGCUAACUCCGUGCCAGCAGCCGCGGUAAUACGGAGGAUGCAAGCGUUAUCCGGAUUCAUUGGGUUUAAAGGGUGCGUAGGCGGACUAUUAAGUCAGUGGUGAAAGCCUGCAGCUUAACUGCAGAACUGCCAUUGAUACUGAUAGUCUUGAGUUUGGUUAAGGUAGGCGGAAUGUGUAAUGUAGCGGUGAAAUGCUUAGAUAUUACACAGAACACCAAUUGCGUAGGCAGCUUACUGAGCCGACACUGACGCUGAGGCACGAAAGCGUGGGGAUCGAACAG
Molecule: ribosomal RNA, 424 nt
Filed under: uncultured bacterium
Lineage: Bacteria
Description: bacterial SSU rRNA
Rfam family: Bacterial small subunit ribosomal RNA
Source: RNAcentral